Molecule: long non-coding RNA, 452 nt
Filed under: Cricetulus griseus (Chinese hamster)
Lineage: Eukaryota; Metazoa; Chordata; Mammalia; Rodentia; Cricetidae
Description: lncRNA (ENSCGRG00000025677.1)
Source: RNAcentral
CCCCCCCAAUAGAGUUUCACUGUGUAGCCCCGAUUAGUCUGGAACUCCCUUUGUAGAACAGGCUAGUCUUGAGCAGACUACCUUUUGAAAGUAUCCUUUUUUGUAAGAGUGCACAGCCAAUUCCACAUAAGUCCUCUGAACUCUGGUACUGGGCAUUGGGAAGGCCCUUGUUUCUGGAGAGGCCGACUGUCCUUAGCUUAGAGUCAAGCCAUUCUGGUAUUUAUCAGCUCUGAUCUUGGGUAUAUCCCGGAACUUCCGGUGCCCUAUUCAUUAGUUAGGUAUGCUAAGUGAGCCCUACUAGAAAGGUUUGCUGAAAGGGCUGAAACCAGACGACGAAUGUGCGUUAGGCCCUUUAAAGGGGUUUACAGUGCGCCUUUAGAAACCCUGUCGACUGCGUGGCGGUGUGUGCCUUGUAUUUUUAAGUGCAGAACACAGCUUUCCCAAGAGAUCAG